GACGAACGCUGGCGGCGUGCUUAACACAUGCAAGUCGAGCGGUAAGGCCCUUCGGGGUACGACGAGCGGCGAACGGGUGAGUAACACGUGGGUGACCUGCCUCUAGCUCUGGGAUAAGCCUGGGAAACUGGGUCUAAUACCGGAUAUGACUCCACGGCGCAUGUUGUGGGGUGGAAAGCCUUGUGUGGCUAGAGAUGGGCCCGCGGCCUAUCAGCUUGUUGGUGGGGUGANGGCCUACCAAGGCGACGACGGGUAGCCGGCCUGAGAGGGCGACCGGCCACACUGGGACUGAGACACGGCCCAGACUCCUGCGGGAGGCAGCAGUGGGGAAUCUUGCGCAAUGGGCGAAAGCCCUGACGCAGCGACGCCGCGUGAGGGAU
This 380-nucleotide ribosomal RNA is filed under the name uncultured bacterium. Its description in RNAcentral is "bacterial SSU rRNA". It matches the Rfam family "Bacterial small subunit ribosomal RNA", at positions 28 to 409 of the family's 1533-position model. The record is from RNAcentral.